GGAGGAAUUUUACGAGCCUCCUUCGCGGCUUCCUGCUACUCCUCUAUGAUUUAACCCCAAGCCAAGCCUUCCUCCCAUGAUUUAAACUCAUUGGGUGCCACAAGUCCGUGCGCUCAAGUCCGACACGCGCGUUCACGCAUACAGCAACACGUCCGUCGAACCGCAUCCAGGGAACGCCACGU
Apis dorsata (giant honeybee) is the source of this 182-nucleotide long non-coding RNA. RefSeq lists it as uncharacterized. Lineage: Eukaryota; Metazoa; Arthropoda; Insecta; Hymenoptera; Apidae. The transcript has 3 exons. The record is from RefSeq and is a predicted model, not a curated record.